This 433-nucleotide ribosomal RNA is filed under the name uncultured bacterium. RNAcentral describes it as "partial 16S ribosomal RNA". It matches the Rfam family "Bacterial small subunit ribosomal RNA", at positions 29 to 507 of the family's 1533-position model. The record is from RNAcentral.
AGCGAACGCUGGCGGCAGGCUUAACACAUGCAAGUCGAACGCAUCCUCCGGGGUGAGUGGCAGACGGGUGAGUAACACGUGGGAACGUACCCUUCGAUCUGGGAUAACUUCGGGAAACUGGAGCUAAUACCGGAUACGCCCUUUUGGGGAAAGGUUUACUGUCGAAGGAUCGGCACGCGUCCGAUUAGCUUGUUGGUGGGGUAACGGCCUACCAAGGCGACGCUCAGUAGCUGGUCUGAGAGGAUGAUCAGCCACACUGGGACUGAGACACGGCGCAGACUCCUACGGGAGGCAGCAGUGGGGAAUAUUGGACAAUGGGCGCAAGCCUGAUCCAGCCAGGCCGCGUGAGUGAUGAAGGCCUUAGGGUUGUAAAGCUCGUUUGUCCGGGACGAUAAUGACGGUACCGGAAGAAUAAGCCCCGGCUAACUUCAUG